Molecule: ribosomal RNA, 231 nt
Filed under: uncultured bacterium
Lineage: Bacteria
Description: partial 16S ribosomal RNA
Rfam family: Bacterial small subunit ribosomal RNA
Source: RNAcentral
CGGACGGGUGAGUAAUGUAUGGGGAUCUGCCUGAUGGCGGGGGAUAACUACUGGAAACGGUAGCUAAUACCGCAUAACGUCGCAAGACCAAAGAGGGGACCUUCGGGCCUCUUGCCAUCGGAUGUGCCCAGAUGGGAUUAGCUAGUAGGUGGGGUAACGGCUUACCUAGGCGACGAUCCCUAGCUGGUCUGAGAGGAUGAUCAGCCACACUGGGACUGAGACACGGCCCAG